Molecule: ribosomal RNA, 309 nt
Filed under: uncultured bacterium
Lineage: Bacteria
Description: bacterial SSU rRNA
Rfam family: Bacterial small subunit ribosomal RNA
Source: RNAcentral
CACACUGGAACUGAGACACGGUCCAGACUCCUACGGGAGGCAGCAGUGGGGAAUCUUGCACAAUGGACGAAAGUCUGAUGCAGCAACGCCGCGUGGGGGAUGAAGCUUCUCGGAGUGUAAACCCCUUUCGACCUGGACGAAUGCCCGCAAGGGUUUGACGGUACAGGUAUAAGAAGCCCCGGCUAACUACGUGCCAGCAGCCGCGGUAAUACGUAGGGGGCCAGCGUUGCUCGGAAUUACUGGGCGUAAAGGGUCCGUAGGCGGUGUGAUAAGCCGAUAGUGAAAUCUCUGGGCUUAACCCAGAGGCUG